This is a long non-coding RNA of Drosophila takahashii, 1284 nucleotides long. RefSeq lists it as uncharacterized. Lineage: Eukaryota; Metazoa; Arthropoda; Insecta; Diptera; Drosophilidae. The record is from RefSeq and is a predicted model, not a curated record.
UAAACGAUGGCCAAUUAAAAAUGUUUGCUUAAACGAACCAAGAUAAAAAUCCAAUUUAAAUAAAAGUUUUUUCGUAACACUCACCACAUAAAGGCAAUAUGCAAAUAUUACACAAAAAACACUCAGAAAAUGUUAAACAAAAUUAAAUGAAUGCAAAUUAAAAAGCACGAGGAAAAGCCAAAGCAAAUAAUAACAGCAACAAUGUGUUCAUAACUAUUAAAAAAAGGAAAUUAAAUUAAAAUAAAAUUAAAAAUAAAAAAGCGAUAGCUUAACCGCAUUAUGCUAAAUCGAAACCAAACCAAGCUCAUCUGAAUCUCUACUAUCGCAUCCAUGUUUCUGCAUACGUAUCUGCAUCUGCACCCGUACCCGCAUCCGUAAAUCUAUCCGUAUCUUUGCAUCUGCUGAGGGAAUGAGACGAUGCAGCAAACAUGUCAGCUCAACUCGAAUCCGAAUCCCAGAAUCAAUACAUUAAUCAGUCGAGCAAGCAAAGAGUCAAGAAAUUCCAUCAUCAAUUUGCAACUGCCAUCAACUCAUCAACAAUAACAACUGCAACCAGUACAACUGCAACCAGCAAUCCCAACUUAAAUGCCAGAAAUUAAAUGCACCCAAACUAAAGCAAAUAAACUCAAAUAAUUCUAAGUAAUACAACUAAAAAAUAGCCUAACACCACUCGAGGGCGAACAAAAAGCCACUAACUUCCAUUUUCAUAUUAAUUAUGGAACAUUCAUCAACAAUUUCGUUGUGUUUGUUCCAUUGCAAAAACAAAAAGGUCGCCGAUUGUUUGCAGCAUCAACAGAAACACCAACGACCAGUGGGAAAAUCAACAACAACUCCAUCAACAAAAUCAACCAGAAGACCAACAACAUCAGCAACCCAAAAAUCAAGAGCUUCUUGGAGAAGCGGCAACUUUAAGCUUGAUUUCAACAAAUUGCAGGCUAACAUCUAACAACUGAACGAAACAACGAUACUAAGCUGUAUUAAGAAAGAUAAGUAUCAGCUUCACCAGAAAAUCAACCAGAACAACAACAACUGCUACCUAAGGUUUCUCAAACUGUAAAAAACAAAUAACUCAAAAAACAAACGACCAUAUAAGCAAACCAGAAAAAAGUGCAAAUUAUGUAAAUUAUAGCAAAGGCAAAACGCAAAGGGAAAACCGAAAAGCAAACGAAAGGGAAUUAGUCAAAUAGAAGAGGCGAACAAAAAACACACAGAAAUACAUAAAAAAUAUCUGUGACCAGGCAAGACCGGAAAUUAAAUCUGCAACGCGGAACCAAAGAGGAAGAG